AUUGAACGCUGGCGGCAGGCUUAACACAUGCAAGUCGAGCGGAGAGAGGUAGCUUGCUACUGAACUUAGCGGCGGACGGGUGAGUAAUGCUUAGGAAUCUGCCUAUUAGUGGGGGACAACAUUUCGAAAGGAAUGCUAAUACCGCAUACGUCCUACGGGAGAAAGCAGGGGAUCUUCGGACCUUGCGCUAAUAGAUGAGCCUAAGUCGGAUUAGCUAGUUGGUGGGGUAAAGGCCUACCAAGGCGACGAUCUGUAGCGGGUCUGAGAGGAUGAUCCGCCACACUGGGACUGAGACACGGCCCAGACUCCUACGGGAGGCAGCAGUGGGGAAUAUUGGACAAUGGGCGGAAGCCUGAUCCAGCCAUGCCGCGUGUGUGAAGAAGGCCUUAUGGUUGUAAAGCACUUUAAGCGAGGAGGAGGCUACUCUAGUUAAUACCUAGAGAUAGUGGACGUUACUCGCAGAAUAAGCACCGGCUAACUCUGUGCCAGCAGCCGCCGUAA
Molecule: ribosomal RNA, 501 nt
Filed under: uncultured bacterium
Lineage: Bacteria
Description: partial 16S ribosomal RNA
Rfam family: Bacterial small subunit ribosomal RNA
Source: RNAcentral